UUAUUUUAUUUUUUUUUAAUAUUUAUUUUUUAGUUCUCGGCGGAUACAACAUCUUUGUUUGUAUGUGGUGCUGAGGAUCGAACCCGGGCCGCACGCAUGCCAGGCGAGCGCGCUACCGCUUGAGCCACAUCCCCAGCCCCAACGGACUCUUGCAUAGUGACAUCCUUCAGGACAAACAGCCCACAACUUGGGGCAGCUCCUGUAGAGGCUACCCAGAGCCAGGCCCCGGCAGGAAGGGAGACAAGGACCCUGUGAGGAACUGGGGCAGGGGCUUGGCAUGGAAGUCUCGGACCCUCUCCAUUAAAGCUGCUCAGGGACCAGAGCCACUCUUCGGAGCUUACGCAGCCCCGGCCACCAGACUGCAGAGGGCGGCUCCCAGUGCGGGAGGGGGAGCCACUCCGAACCGGAAUGAUCUGGUUUAGGGCGGGCUGGCUCUCCCUCCUCCUCUUUGCCGCCCACCCCUUCUCCCGCGACAGGCUGAUUUCUGCCGCAGUCCCUGACCAAGAUUUAGCGUCGGGUUCUUCCCCUUGAGAGAAAGGUGGCUUCAAGAAGAGCAGUGGCACGUCCUAGAUUCAGGCUUGGGGGAAGAAUGAGGUGAACUUUCUUGUUUCAUCUACCAAGGGGCUGCUUGGCUUUGAAGACAUGCUGUCCCUCUCCCAGAUUCUGCUCUCUGAAGUCUCAUGUUCUCGCACAACCUGCCUGCCCCUGGAGGAAAGCGUGCCCAUCUGACACCUCGCCCGCCUGCCCCUGGCUCCCUGUGGCACAUUCAUCUGUCCUUGUCGCUCUUCUGCUCUAUAUUAACCCCAGGGCCUAGUCCGUCCCCUCCUCCUCCUGCCUUCCCCAGGAUGAAGGUCUGUUGCCUGCCCCCAGCUCCAUCCCAGUGAGCCUGCACCCAGGCUAGGUCCAGCCAGGAAGGCCUCCUGCAGCCUCUCCAGCCAUCUUGGGGUAGACUCUGAGUGGUUCAAAGGGAGCUAGAAUCAGCACCGUGAUCAACUCUCCUUCCUCAGCCACCAUGAGGUCGUCCCAUCACUUCCACUCAAGGGAGGCAAGGACUGGGCAGCCUCUUGUCUCUUUGACCAGAAGCUGAAAGAACAGUCUGACCCAAGGAGGCAAUGGGAGGUCCCAGGAGUGUCAGACCAGACUGGUGACCCGGCACCAGAGAGCCAGCAUGAUGGGAAAGGAGAGGAGAAAAGAGUACAGCAGCCUGGUUCCUCAGAUGCCAGGACCAAGCAGGGCGGGGGCACUCCAGGCCUUCUGUGGGCUUUCAGGCCUUUUGUAAAACGACAGUCCAACUGCUUGAUCUCUAAAACCACUUCUAAGUUUUCCUGAGCCAUGACAAGAAGAAAAAGCAUCUUAACUAAAAGCUGAAGCAGCCAGAAAAGCCAACACUACCUGCUUGUGAUACUCCUGCCUCAGCCUUCUGAACUACUGGGACUGCAGGUGUUUGCCACUGUGCCCAGAUGGGUUGUAAUUUUGACCUAUAACAUAGCA
Long non-coding RNA from Marmota monax (woodchuck), 1491 nucleotides. RefSeq lists it as uncharacterized. Lineage: Eukaryota; Metazoa; Chordata; Mammalia; Rodentia; Sciuridae. The transcript has 4 exons. The record is from RefSeq and is a predicted model, not a curated record.